Molecule: long non-coding RNA, 341 nt
Filed under: Anas platyrhynchos platyrhynchos (common mallard)
Lineage: Eukaryota; Metazoa; Chordata; Aves; Anseriformes; Anatidae
Description: lncRNA (ENSAPLG00000026480.1)
Source: RNAcentral
CUCUCUUCUUCUUCCUUCCCCUCUGUCUGCUUCCAGCUACUUCUCAGACUUGCAGAUGCUGAGCUUGCCAGACCCAGACUCCUGAAUGUCCAUGGUCAGAGUCUGUAGGUUGCUGCUGUCAUUAUUUGGAGGAAGAGGAAAAAAUAAUGCUGAGGAGUUGUUGAUGACUUAGAGCAACUGUUUUUCAGCCUACAUGAAGGUGUUUGCCAGGCUGAUAAUGCUUCUGAUGGCCUUCAUCCUGUUUAUGUACAGCAGGUGAGUGCUUUUGCUCUAUAAAGGCAAUUUAAUUCUAUUGACUUUGACAAAAUUGAAUUAAUGUCUUCCAUAACUUGAUUUUGAGU